RNAcentral lists this ribosomal RNA (508 nucleotides) under uncultured bacterium. Its description in RNAcentral is "partial 16S ribosomal RNA". It matches the Rfam family "Bacterial small subunit ribosomal RNA", at positions 30 to 523 of the family's 1533-position model. The record is from RNAcentral.
AUUGAACGCUGGCAGCAGGCCUAACACAUGCAAGUCGAGCGGCAGCGGGAAAGUAGCUUGCUACUUUUGCCGGCGAGCGGCGGACGGGUGAGUAAUGCCUGGGGAUCUGCCCAGUCGAGGGGGAUAACAGUUGGAAACGACUGCUAAUACCGCAUACGCCCUACGGGGGAAAGGAGGGGACCUUCGGGCCUUUCGCGAUUGGAUGAACCCAGGUGGGAUUAGCUAGUUGGUGGGGUAAUGGCUCACCAAGGCGACGAUCCCUAGCUGGUCUGGGAGGAUGAUCAGCCACACUGGAACUGAGACACGGUCCAGACUCCUACGGGAGGCAGCAGUGGGGAAUAUUGCACAAUGGGGGAAACCCUGAUGCAGCCAUGCCGCGUGUGUGAAGAAGGCCUUCGGGUUGUAAAGCACUUUCAGCGAGGAGGAAAGGUUGGCGCCUAAUACGUGUCAACUGUGACGUUACUCGCAGAAGAAGCACCGGCUAACUCCGUGCCAGCCGCCGCCGUAA